Long non-coding RNA from Acromyrmex echinatior (Panamanian leafcutter ant), 2378 nucleotides. The record is from RefSeq and is a predicted model, not a curated record. NCBI's taxonomy places the organism in Eukaryota, Metazoa, Arthropoda, Insecta, Hymenoptera, Formicidae.
GAAUAUGAGGAGUAUUUUGAUGCUCGGAACACCGGUAGUCGAGGUGGAAUUCCACGUGUUUUCGUUUACCCUACCAGCGCGGACAUGGAAUCGAAAGCUUUCUCGGCAGGUUAUUUAAAAAAAUAUUACCUCGUCUAAAUAACGUGCAUGUGCUGUCGGUAAAGAAGCUUUUUUUUUGCGCGAAUUAACAUAAUAGAAGAUAUCGAAAAUAAAAAACUGUUAAAGGAAGAUCAAAAGUCGGCUCGCAGAAUCGAGGGGUAAUCUGAAGAGAAAAGCCAAAGAAAAAAUAAGAUCUUUGAUGAGGAGAUCAGGAUAUAAAAUAUCCGAAAUCCGCGGCGCUUCAGUUUCCAAUCGGUAUCGAGAUAGAUGUAUCGUGCAACGUAAACGACGUCGGACGGUCAAAAGAAAAUCAUCGAGAAGUACCACAGAGAAAAAGAGCAAAAAAGUGACGAAGAAGAAAAAGAAAAUUUGUGUUGAAGGAAGAAAAACCAAAAAAUCGCUAGGAAAUAUUGAGUCAAGAAACAUGACGUAUCCGACAUAUUCUCUUAAUUGAGAUAGGAAUUCGUGACUGGAAAAAAGCGUGUCCUUUCAUACUCACGAACGAAUGUAUAAAGAGUAAACUCGAUUUCUUCUCUUUAUCUCUUCCGCAAACUAGCAUUGAGAGUUUGCAAUAAAUUUAUUACAAACCCGUAACUUCGCUCGCGGACAACUCGCCCAUAAAAUUCGUCCCCGGACAUGGAGAAGACUAUCUGGAUCUUAUUCACACCAUAUUGAGCCUUUGCAUAGAAAGCGUAGAAAGCGAACGCGGAGAGAGCACAUCGGCCGCAUCCGAUGUCGUGGUAAGAGAAGACUCGUAAAUCAUUUACUGUAUUUCAUGUUCAAUCAAAUCGACAUAUAUUUCAAUCAAAAAUUCGUGCCGCCAUCAAAUAACAUUUACGCUUACUGCGCGUACAUCAAGGCGUUAUUACAUUAUGUUUUACCCACAAAAACUUCCCAUCUAACCUCUUGCUUAUGGGACGCAGAUAUUCCCGGUUAUAUGGACGACACGUUAGACUCGUCAAAUCCAAAUACGGCGCUCGAGAAACAUUCGAGGAAAUCGUACGCUAGAUCUCAUAGGUCACCGUCUGCGACGUUUUCAAUCAAAAUAAAAUUUUAAUUAACAGAGUGGAAAUUAGAAUGAGACUCAUGCUGUUUGGGAUCGAAAAGCAAUCGGCUAUUACAAGCUUAUAUGAAGCAAAUAUAGAAAUGAUGGAUCAUCCUAAAAAAAAGGAAAAAUAUGGGAUGUAAUAAGAAUUGGACUACUAAAGUUUGGAAUAAAGAUAUUUUUUUAUUAAAGAGGAUGUAUUACUUUCUACGUCCAUAAUAAUACAUCGACUUUUACUUCUAAAGGUUUACAUAACAUCAAAUAAUGAAGGAAUUUUAAAUGACAAAUGAUAAAGUCCGAUGGAAAAUCAAUAGUGAAAAGGUACAGAGAAGUAGUAGACAAUAAUUCAAAGUCGGGAAGGGCUUGCAUGGACUUGGAGUGGUAUAAGUAGUUGGAUGAAAUUUUAGAACCACGUGUCAGUACUGGACAUACUGUUUCAUCGAAAUUAUCAACAUCCGCCAUUUGUACUUCGACUUCUGAAAAAGAAUAUUCGAGUGAAUCCUCUUCAAUUCAGACCAAUCCAUCGAAAUUAAUUUUAUCGAAGAAUGAUCUCAUAAACUCAAACAUUACUAGCGUGAAAAAUCGUAAGCGUUCUUCUCAUGGAACAGGCUCCAAAACUGCAGCAACAAAAAUAGAACAGUGCCUACAUCAUUUACAAAGAAAAGAAGAACGUGAUCAUAUCACAGAUCAAAGAAAUACAGUGUAAGAUGACCAUUAUCUCGAAAAGAUGGUACAAGCCACGAUAAAGAUGGAUAUACUGAGCCUCGUAAUAAAAAAGUAUUACCAGGAAAUAAUACACCAUUGUCUGUAUGAUACAAUUCUGAUUUUCGAAAUAUAUGCGUAUCAUGGAGAGACCUGGACUCACCACAAUAUAUUUUUCUAUCCGAAUAUGAGUACCAUCGAUGGCUCCUAAGAUAUUUGAAAUUCCUUGCUUAGCACGAAAACCUUCAAUGGUCGUUAUUAUACGAUUUUGUUUUUGUGGCCAUUUAGUCACUACAUCUAAUUUCGUCAUCAACCAGGCUAUGACACGGAGAACACAAAUGAAAUAGAAAUUCCAAAUCUAUUAGCAAUAGUUCGCAGAGAUUUCGUAUUGGCAAUGUGGCAUAAAAAAAUUAAAAAACUCAAUUUUGUUGAAAUUGGUUUCUUUCCAAAUGAAUGUGAUGGAAUAAAAUUUGAUAAAUGUAGCUCAUCUGUAAAAAAUUUAUUUCGUACUUUAUAUACAGCAUGCAUUAUA